GAAAAUACUCAAUCAAACCAUUUGUACGUACUUCAAUAAAGGAAGCGGGGGCCUCCUCAAUCGAAGAACUGUUUUUGCCGUCAUCCCAAUUGAAGACUAAACAAGUCUGAACUAAUUGAAUCCUUGUGUCGGAAAUUCCCCGAAUGGAUUUUCCAUUUCCAUAAAGAAUAUAAUUGACAACUUUUAGUUCCAGAUUAUCCUUUUCCUGGAAUAGAUCUUGGGGAAAAAGUUUUACAACAUUGUUACUGUCCGGUAUUUCAUAUAAAAUGACAGGUCGAACCAAAACAAAAUACUUUUUUUUGGUAGUUGCGAUCCAUUGGACAUAGAUCCAAUUUUUAAUUUUUUUUGAUUUAUUGCAUUUUUUUUUAGAUCUUGGGGAAAAAGUUUUACAAAAUUGUUACUGUCCGGUAUUUCAUAUAAAAUGACAGGUCGAACCAAAACAAAAUACUUUUUUUUGGUAGUUGCGAUCCAUUGGACAUAGAUCCAAUUUUUUUUUUUUUUUUUAUUUAUUGCAUUUUUUUUACCGUUCUGGGUGGUAUCAAGAUGACACUGUGUCGGGAUAUCUUAUCCAUCUCUCCGGGAAAAUGGAUAUUUCCAGAAAAUAUUCUUAAUUCGAUUUUUUUUUCUUGUCUAAUCGGACCAAUCCGCCUACUCGACUUCUUAUAUUGAAAAUGAUUGGUGUUCCUAUUCCAACAAGACUAUUAUUCUGUACCAUUAGGGAAGAAGAUUUGGGUAAAAUAUGCACUUCUUCGGGAAUAAAAAAAAUCGAUCUACUUGAAUUUGAGAUUUUGGCUUUAAUUCUUUGAUUCCUCGAUACUCAAUGAAAUCUUCUUUUUGAAAAAUGAAAUGAAUUCCUAUAGUUCUAUAUUUAGUAAUUCCUGAACUAACUAUGUCGACUAACUAUGUCGUCUGUAUUGAGGAUCAUCGAAAUAAGCAAAAAUACUAUUUCUAUGAAAAAUACCAUUGAUAGGUAUUUCAAUGGAGACACCGGAAGGGGACAUUCGUUCGUUCUUUCGUUCUUGAANNNNN
RNAcentral lists this long non-coding RNA (1029 nucleotides) under Lathyrus oleraceus (garden pea). Its description in RNAcentral is "Pisum sativum (pea) long non-coding RNA (PSAT_LNC042272)". The record is from RNAcentral. Lineage: Eukaryota; Viridiplantae; Streptophyta; Magnoliopsida; Fabales; Fabaceae.